Bos taurus (domestic cattle) is the source of this 1292-nucleotide long non-coding RNA. Lineage: Eukaryota; Metazoa; Chordata; Mammalia; Artiodactyla; Bovidae. The record is from Ensembl.
CUAGAGCACAGACUCAGUAGUUGUGAUGCACAGGCUUCGUUACUCUGUGGCAUGUGGAAUUUUGACAUAUGGAUUGAACCUAUGUCCCCAGCAUUGGCAGCGCUGCAUGCAGGAUCUUAUUUCUCUGACCAAGAAUGGAACCUGUGCCCUCUACAGUGGAAGCAUGGAAUCUCAACCACUGGACCACCAGGGAAAUUCUUCACCACUGGAAAUCAGUCCUGAAUAUUCAUUGGAAGGACUGACACUGAAGCUGAAACUCCAAUACUUAGGCCACCCGAUGUGAAGAACCGACUCAUUGGAAAAGACCCUGAUGCUGGGAAAGACUGAAGGCUAAUCUGGAGGAGCAUUAUCAUUUGGGAUGUAAUCAACUCAGAUCCACACCAUGUUGGAUAUGCUAUGCUGCUGCUGCUGCUAAGUCACUUCAGUCGUGUCUGACUCUGUGCGAUCCCAUAGAUGGCAGCCCACCAGGCCCCGCCGUCCCUGGGAUUCUCCAGGCAAGAACACUGGAGUGGGUUGCCAUUUCCUUCUCCAAUGCAUGAAAGGGAAAAGUGAAAGUGAAGUCGCUCAGUUGUGUCCGACUCCUAGUGACCCCAUGGACUGCAGCCUACCAGGCUCCUCCGUCCAUGGGAUUUUCCAGGCAAGAGUACUGGAGUGGGGUGCCAUUGCCUUCUGCAUGGAUAUGCUAUGGUUGAGUAUAAUUUUUGGUAGUAGUUGUUCCAACUACUGCAAGUGUCAGCUUUUCUUGUUUUGUUUUUGUUUGUUUUUUGGUAGAAGAUCAUCAGUAGGCAUAGUGACUGCUCAACUGCCUUAAGAUUCUGGAGUUCUAAUUUGAGCAGGGUGACUCAAACAAGUGCUAACCUACUUUGAGUAAAGUGUGCAGAUGAAACUAAUAGAGUAGAUUCAUUUCAACUAUGAAGAGCUCACAGAACCAGAGAUUUGGAUAUUAGCCAGAUUAUUUAGUCUCAUGAUACUUAUUUUUCCAGAUCUUUUUAGUGAUAGUAAAGAUCGCAGAGAAAUCUGCAGAAAUCUAAGUACAUCAUUAUUUCCCUUAGGCAGCACACGUUUUCCUUCAGGAAGCCAGUACAACAUCUGAUGACUCUGUUUUGAACCAUUGUUUGUCUGUCUCAUGAAAUUUUUUAGGUGACGAUUUCCACAGUCUUAGACAUCUUAUCUAGUUUAAAUAUUUUCUGAACCAUAAGCAUGUAGGAUUACUCCUACUUUUUUAAGCCUCUUAGAAAGCAUAAAAUGAAAAGUCUUGAGUAUAGAAGAAUACAGUUCCUCAAAUCUUCAGC